Molecule: non-coding RNA, 30 nt
Filed under: Mus musculus (house mouse)
Lineage: Eukaryota; Metazoa; Chordata; Mammalia; Rodentia; Muridae
Source: RNAcentral
UGCAAAGUAGAAAUCCUGUGUAUUGUCAGA